UUUGAGGAAGCUGUGAGAAUACAGAAAAACAUGAUUUUUUUUAACUAUAAAACUGCACAAUGAUGAAAUCUAGGACGCACAUAAUCGAAAAUUCACAGCGACUUGAGUUCUUUUUUUUUUAACAAGAUUGCAUGUAAAAGUGCAAAAUAAUUAAUUUUAUUUAUAAUAUAUUAGAAUAUAAUAAUGACUGAACAUGAAUUUUAAUUUCCAGAGAUUAUGAAUAAGAAGACCUUCUGCGAUCAUCCAUGGAAA
This 252-nucleotide long non-coding RNA is filed under the name Brassica napus (rape). Its description in RNAcentral is "long non-coding RNA (BNAP_LNC002831)". The record is from RNAcentral. Lineage: Eukaryota; Viridiplantae; Streptophyta; Magnoliopsida; Brassicales; Brassicaceae.